Molecule: ribosomal RNA, 301 nt
Filed under: uncultured bacterium
Lineage: Bacteria
Description: partial 16S ribosomal RNA
Rfam family: Bacterial small subunit ribosomal RNA
Source: RNAcentral
CAGUCGCCGCGGUAAUACGAAGGGGGCUAGCGUUGUUCGGAAUUACUGGGCGUAAAGGGCGCGUAGGCGGCCAUUCAAGUUAGAUGUGAAAGCCCUGGGCUCAACCUAGGAAUUGCAUUUGAUACUGUUUGGCUUGAGUUCGGGAGAGGUGAGUGGAAUUCCCAGUGUAGAGGUGAAAUUCGUAGAUAUUGGGAAGAACACCGGUGGCGAAGGCGGCGACCUGGUCCUUGACUGACGCUGAGGCGCGAAAGCGUGGGGAGCAAACAGGAUUAGAUACCCCGGUAGUCCCUGUCUCUUAUAC